AAUAUGCGACAAUGGGGGCAACCCUGAUCCAGCCAGGCCGCGUGUGUGAAGAAGUUCUUCGGAUUGUAAACCAUUUUAAGUUGGGAGGAAGGGCUUUAGGUGAGUACCUUGAAGUUUUGACGUUACCAACAGAAUAGUCCCCGGCUAACUCUGUCCCAGCAGCCGCGGUAAUACAGAGGGUGCAAGCGUUAAUCGGAAUUACUGGGCGUAAAGCGCGCGUAGGUGGUUCAGUAAGAUGGGUGUGAAAUCCCCGGGCUUAACCUGGGAACUGCUUUCAUAACUGCUGAGCUAGAGUACGGUAGAGGGUAGUGGAAUUUCCUGUGUAGCGGUGAAAUGCGUAGAUAUAGGAAGGAACACCAGUGGCGAAGGCGACUACCUGGACUGAUACUGACACUGAGGUGCGAAAGCGUGGGGAGCAAACA
This 422-nucleotide ribosomal RNA is filed under the name uncultured bacterium. Its description in RNAcentral is "partial 16S ribosomal RNA". It matches the Rfam family "Bacterial small subunit ribosomal RNA", at positions 360 to 774 of the family's 1533-position model. The record is from RNAcentral.